GCACAAACGUGGAUUUCAGAGGAGCAGUGCCAACCCCAAAGUGCUCACCUGACAGGAGCUGGGGCAAGGUUUUUACAGGGAAGUCACCAAAGCAAAGGGAAACAGUUAUUUCAUUGGUUAGGGCUUAAGCAGUUGCCUUAUUUGGGCUCCGUGUGAUGGGUUGCUCUUAAGUUUCACUUUCCUGGAUUUGAGCGCUUUGGCUCUGGCUUAAGUUUGGUUUGCUUAUGUGGGCUACCAAGGUGUUAGAGCCAUCCCCAGUCUAAUGGCCUCCUUGUUUGGACACUUUUAGCAAUACCCUCUGCGUUCCUGAAUUCUAUUAAUGGCGCCAUGGGGUCACCUAAGGUAGAAACUUCAGUCUCCCCAGGAACUCAUUCUUCCUCACUGCCCAUCGUCAAUCGUUGGCAGGUCAUGUUUUCCAGACAUGGAUGCAACCUAUAUCUAUAAUGCUUGCCCUUCUAGACCCCCGUCAAGAGAGAGAUUUUGUCGGGGCGCCUGGGUGGCCCAGUUGGUUGAGUCUUCGGCUCAGGUCAUGAUCUCACGGUUCGUGAGCUCGAGCCCCACAUCGGGUCCUGUGCUGACAGCUUGGAGCCCGGAGCCUGCUUGGGAUUCUGUGUCUCCCUCUCUCUCUGCCGCUCCCCUGCUUGCUCUCUCUCUCUCUCUCUCUCUCUCUGUCUCUCUCUCUCUCAAAACUGUAUAAACAUUUAAAAGAGAGAGAGAGCCUAGAUAGACCUGCCUUCCUGCCUUGACCGAGAAAAUAGAGAAGGAGUAGUGCUAUUUGUCUUCUGAGAUGAAGUCACAAAAAUACCACCUCAUUGUUUUGGAUGCUCAUUCUUGGAACCCAAUCGCUAUGCCGUAAGGAAGCUCAAGCUCUUCCUGUGGAAAGGCUCACUUGGAAAGGAACCAACGUCCCCAGCCUUCAGCCCCGGCUAAGCUUAGUCAGUAGCCAGAACGAACUUUCCAACCGUGUGAGUAAGCCAUCUUGGAAAGAGGACCCUCCAGCCCCUCACUGACCUUCCUCCAGAUGACGCCGUAGGGAACAGAGACAAGCCCUGGCCAAAUUGCGGAUUCAUACGAAAAAUAUGAAUUUUUAAGCUACCAAAUUUGCAGGUGGCUUGUUACAUAGUAGUGGAUAGCUGGUGUGCUAACCCUGAAAUGUCUCUUAAUUCCGUUACCGCCUCUCCAUUCCCACAGGUCAGGCCCCCAUCACCUCCUUAAUUAAGAGACAAUCUGCCUAACGAAUCUGUGGAAGUAAAGGCCUGCUCACAAUAAUAGUAAGCACGACUGAAUGCCAAUUUAGCUGCAAUGCUAAGCGCUUUGAAUAUAUUAUGGUAUUUAAUCCUUACAAUUCUACCAAGUGCUUUGAAGCUGAAGGAAUAAGUUUAAGUAGCAAAGUAACUUAAGGACCUAAUCCCUUUCUUUUACAGAGGAGGAAAUGAUGCUCAGAAAGGUUAAGAACUAGCCCCAAAUUCAAGCCCAAGUCUUUCCAAGUCCAAGGUCAGGUCUUAAAUCCACCUUCCUUGCUCACAACUGGCUAGCGGCACCCGUUGCUUCUGGGAAAAUGACUUAAACCUGACUCUAAACUUGGUGUGCAAGUUGGGAAAGGGUGUGGUCCUAACUUGCACACAACGUGUAGCUUUGGUGCUGUGGCCUGUGAAUUUUCCCGUUGCACUUGUCGUAUGCGGGGUGGUGGGAAGAAAGGCUGGCGGCCAGUCUAGGCACUGGCCCUAGUCACUUACACUUGCCAGGACUUGGUUUCCUCAACCAGCGAGAGACUAGGGGCACCUGGGUGGCUCAGUUGGUUAAGUGUCCGACUCUUGAUUUCACCUCGGGUUACGAUCUGACGGUUCGUGAGUUCGAGCCGCGUGUCUGUCUCUGUGCUGACGGCGUGGAGCCUACUUGGGAUUCUCUCUCUCUUCCCCUCCCCUGCACACACACACACACACACACACACACACACACACGUACACACACACUCGCGCUCGCUCUCUCUCUCAAAUAAAUAAACAUUAAAAAAACAUAAAACAGACAAUUGAACCAGCUCAUAUUAGAGUUCUCUUCCAGCUCUGACUCUGUGUAAUGUGGAAACUGGCCUCUUGUACGUUUGUGCUUCCUGCCUCUCCGAGAACCGCAACCCCUGAGCUCCCCGUCGGGGCUCAUGUCCCCACUUCUGGGAAGAUGCCAGACUCAGAGACAGAUGCUUUAGCGAAUGUUCUCCAUGUACCACUUUACCGGAACUAGCUUUAGGUCGGGGAAUAAAAUCUUUUCUGCAGCUCUCAGAGAAGGCACUGUUCCCAGUGGUUUUGUGAAGCUAAGCUUUGGAGGAGGAAGGGAAGGAGCCUGAGAACCUGACUCACACACUUGCUUCCCAGCUCUUCUGCAUGGUUUUUGGACAUCAGUGCAACAGACCCUGAAAGCAGGGUUUGCCAAAGCCAAGUUCGGUCACUGUGUCGGCUACUACCUCUGCACAGUUACCUUAACCUUUUCCUGUUCCGUGGCUUCGGGUUGGAGAAUUUUAAGGGGGAGGUUUCGAAGGGUUUGUUUUUAAAUGUUAUUUACACACCUUUCCGCUCGAUUUGUGAACAUUUUACAGAAGUCCGUUUAAAACCUGAGAUGCUUUUAGAUAUGAAGGAGCAAGAAUCCUGAGAAGAGUCUUGUCCAGAACGUUAACCGAUGGCAGAAUCCCGGGAAUCGUCUUCUGAAUUUUGUCUGGAAUUCUACCCCUUUGAAUUUAUUGAAAUGUGGUUUCUCUUUUAGUUCCUGGUUCCUUUUAUUGUUUUUAUCUUGGCGCUAAUCUUUGUUUACCCAGGUUCUGACAUUUUUACUCCAGAAUUAAUUACCCCAGAUGGUCUACUCUCCUGUGUUUUCCAAGCAAACAAAGUGGGCAGGAAGUAUGAGUUUCCUGAACAAAUUGGCUUUCUGUUUUAGUCGGAGGCUUGGUCUUUUAGAAACUUGUUUAUUUUGUGUCUACUUUUGUUAUUUCUAAUUGAUAAAAAAAACAGGUUUUUUUUAAUUUGGAUCUAGUUAGAUUUUACCUUUUUCCAUUUAAAAUUUAGUCUUAAUAUUUUGCCCUUUGCUUCCCUGAGUCUCCUUCGUAGUAUCCACCGUUGUGUUGAAUUUGAACCGCGACACCGGCUCUGUUGGCGAGCUCCUUGCUCAAAAUAGCUUCUCCACACCUAGAACUUUGGCCUCAGAUUUCUGGUCACUUUGAGCCACUUCCCUUGACGUGACAACAUAAGCGAUCAGCAGGUGAGCUCCUGUGAGCCUUGCCUCUUGGGGUUUCACACAGAUGGGUCACCCCUAGCUUUGGUGAGUCAUUCAGUGGCCCCCUCUCCCCUCCCCUCCUCUCCCCUCCCCUCCUCUCCCCUCCCUUCCACCUCAGCACUGAGUACAGCAGUACACGGUUCUCUGAAGGACAUCACCUCUCUUUCCGCCUUCCUCCUGAUGCGACGGCAGGAACCCCGGAAAUGGCUGCCUUAAAUGUAGGGACCCUAGGAUCUGGCCUCCACGCACAACCCAGAUCACCAGGAAUAACCCAGUCCUGAGACACUGCCCCUCUGCCCGAACCGGGAUUGGGCCGGGCCGGACGCCGGGAAGCUUCUCCAGAUGCAGCCACUGUCUGUGGCAGGAAGAGGGCCUCCCCGAAAUCUGUCGUCAGGCUCGGCUUGUCCUCUUCCGUCCCUCCUCACACCCUCUACUUCCCUGGCCUGUCGCUUUCAUCCAUCCCUCCAGUGUCUAGAGACACAACUGUGUGCCGGGCUCAUGCUGGUCUUCGGAGGCACCAUCCCGUAAGCGGUCAUGGUAAUGCGCCCGGUGCCGAAAUGGAGACCUGGCAAAGACGUCUGGGUCUGUGAAAGGUUGCGCAGUGCACGCCCCGCACAGAGGCCAUGUAAGCGGAGUGUGGAAAAGAUGGUUUGCAGCUCGCUCACCAAUGUUCUCCGUUCCGCCCACUUUGGAUCAGAGGACUUCUUACAGGAGAAAUACGAUUGGCCGGAGGCCACCUUCACCCAGUGAUCAAGUUAACACCCCCGCCCCCGCCCCCAUAUUCGUACAGCACAACACCAUUUCCGUGCUGUUUCUACCCAAAAUACAGUACCUGAAUCUCAUUAUGAAGAAACAAGAGAGAAGCCCAGAUUGAGGGCUUACAUAACAGCUGGUCUGUAUUCUUCAAAAAUUCAAAAAGGCCAAAGUUAACAAAAGACAAAGACUAAAGGGGGGAAAAGAAAGAAAGGGAGGGAGGGAGGAAGGAAGGAAGGAAGGAAGACCAAGGAACUGUCCCAGUUCCAGGACUUUCUUUUGCUAUCAUGGACAUCACUGGGACAACUGGCCAGAUCUGACCAUUGUCUGAAGGUUUUAGUGUUUUAUCAGGGUUAAUCUCCUGAUCUUGAGAAUUGUACUAUGGUUAUGUGAGAGUCUCUAGGAAAUACACACUAGAGUAUCUGAGGGUAAAGGGGCAUCGUGUCUGUAAUUUAUUCUCAGAUGGUAGAGAAAAAGUUGUGUGUGUGUGGAGAGGAGGCUGGGGGAGAUAAACACAAUGUGAUAAUGUUAACGUGCAGGGAAAUCUGGUUGAAGAGUAUAUAGGAAUUCCUUGUACUGUUCUUGCAACUUUCCUGUAAGUCUGAAAUGAUGUCUAAAAAAGAAUUUCCGGGGUGGUGCCUGGGGGGUUCACUUGGUAAAGCAUCCAGCUCUCGGUUUUGGCUCAGGUCAUAAUCUCACGGUUUCGUGAGUUCGAGCCCCGCGUCGGGCCCUUGUGCUGACAGCUCGGAGCCUGGAGCCUGCUUCGGAUUCUGUGUGUGUGUGUCUCUCUGCCCCUCUCUUGCUCCCACUCUGUCUGUCUGUCUGUCUCUCUCUCUCUCUCUCUCUCAAAAAUAAACACUAAAAAAAUUUUUAAUGAAAUAAAA
This 4898-nucleotide long non-coding RNA is filed under the name Lynx pardinus (Iberian lynx). Lineage: Eukaryota; Metazoa; Chordata; Mammalia; Carnivora; Felidae. The record is from RNAcentral.